This 21-nucleotide microRNA is filed under the name Schmidtea mediterranea. RNAcentral describes it as "sme-miR-745-5p". Its record names the gene sme-miR-745-5p. Lineage: Eukaryota; Metazoa; Platyhelminthes; Tricladida; Dugesiidae. The record is from miRBase by way of RNAcentral.
UACGCUCUUACCAGCUAGAAU